This 468-nucleotide ribosomal RNA is filed under the name uncultured bacterium. RNAcentral describes it as "partial 16S ribosomal RNA". It matches the Rfam family "Bacterial small subunit ribosomal RNA", at positions 28 to 507 of the family's 1533-position model. The record is from RNAcentral.
GACGAACGCUGGCGGCGUGCUUAACACAUGCAAGUCGAACGGAAAGGCCCUGCUUUUGUGGGGUGCUAGAGUGGCGAACGGGUGAGUAACACGUGAGUAACCUGCCCUUGACUUUGGGAUAACUGCAGGAAACUGGGGCUAAUACCGGAGAGGAGCUCCUGCUGCAUGGUGGGGGUUGGAAAGUUUCGGCGGAUGGGGAUGGACUCGCGGCUUAUCAGCUUGUUGGGGGGGGAGUGGCUUACCAAGGCAUUGACGGGUAGCCGGCCUGAGAGGGUGACCGGCCACAUUGGGACUGAGAUACGGCCCAGACUGCUACGGGAGGCAGCAGUGGGGAAUAUUGCACAAUGGGCGGAAGCCUGAUGCAGCAACGCCGCGUGCGGGAUGACGGCUUUCGGGUUGUAAACCGCUUUCGCCUGUGACGAAGCGUGAGUGACGGUAAUGGGUAAAGAAGCACCGGCUAACUACGUG